This 302-nucleotide unclassified non-coding RNA is filed under the name plant metagenome. RNAcentral's name for it is "partial contains 5.8S ribosomal RNA, internal transcribed spacer 2, and large subunit ribosomal RNA". The stretch from base 1 to 105 matches the Rfam family "5.8S ribosomal RNA", at positions 50 to 154 of the family's 154-position model. The record is from RNAcentral.
GAAAUGCGAUAAGUAAUGUGAAUUGCAGAAUUCAGUGAAUCAUCGAAUCUUUGAACGCACAUUGCGCCCGCCAGUAUUCUGGCGGGCAUGCCUGUUCGAGCGUCAUUUCAACCAUCAAGCCCCAGGCUUGUGUUGGGGACCUGCGGCUGCCCGCAGGCCCUGAAAAACAGUGGCGGGCUCGCUGUCACACCGAGCGUAGUAGCAUACAUUCUCGCUCAGGGCGUGCUGCGGGUUCCGGCCGUUAAACGACCUUCAUAACCCAAGGUUGACCUCGGAUCAGGUAGGAAGACCCGCUGAACUUA